UGGUGGAGUGAUUUGUUUGGUUAAUUCCGAUAACGAACGAGACUCUAGCCUGCUAAAUAGACGGGCGAUCCCUUCGAGGGUCGACCCGAUUUGCUUCUUAGAGGGACAAGUGGCGUUCCUAGCCACGCGAAAUUGAGCAAUAACA
This 145-nucleotide ribosomal RNA is filed under the name uncultured eukaryote. RNAcentral describes it as "partial 18S ribosomal RNA". It matches the Rfam family "Eukaryotic small subunit ribosomal RNA", at positions 1299 to 1458 of the family's 1831-position model. The record is from RNAcentral.